AUUCUCUUGCAUUCCACCCGGGGAACAAGACAGCACCGGGUUUCACACUGGCAAGGCAGGAGGCUGUGUGCUGCCAGAACGACCAGCAGGGGGCGCAAAGGCCACGCCAGGCACCUGCUGGCCUCAGAGAAAACAGAAAGGGAACCAGGAAGCCCACUCCUGCUGUCCUUUCUCUGCAAGGAAAUGUGCCAGGGCACUGCAGCCCAGACAGUCGGCAGUAGAGGACCCAUGAAGUAUCUUUGUGCAAAGAAAGCAGCAAAGAGAAUUAAGAGAAUUGCAUCAUAUAAAGAGUGAAUUAAACCAUCUAAAGGAGCAAAAAUUCAUCAUCACAUGGACAAGAAAUUAAGACGUAACAUCCAUCUCACUAUUUGCAAAGUGGCUUAUUCCUACAGACAAUGCAGAUAUGUAAAAAGCAGCUGGAAACCUAGGAGCAGAAGCCCAGCAUAAAGAUCUCUGAAAGCCUGGAUGCGUGGAUUCCUCUCUUACUUCCCAAAACGGUGGGGUGGAAAUGUGAAUAUCAGCAUGAUGCACAGAUCUCUGCAGAUGUCCAGCGAACUGAAUUUCUAGACGCUAUAAUCUAUGUUCUUUCCCAACCCCCACUUCAGUUUACAUAUCGCAGGCCAUAGAUCCUGUUUGUUGAAAAGCGAUCAGCUAGAAAACAAGAGUGGUUAUAACCUGUGCUGCCCAGUGAUCAGGAAAAGAGAGCGGAUGAAACUUCCAUGACUUUCUGUUAGUCUGAUUAAUAUCCAUGCCAAAUGUAAGAUUAGUUAAAAGGCCUUAUUGCUUCCCACCAAAAUGUUCCUUCACUAGCUAUAUACUACACUGAAAUGUAAAGUUAUGGGUAUGUUUAACAGUUUAAUUUGUCAGUGGGCAUCCAACUCUUCUAUUUGUGUUUUUACUUUGAGCUUAAUUGGAGCAGACAAAUAGAGGUGACCUCUAACUGUUUUCUUCCUGAAGCCAUUUUCAGGGCAGAAGUGCUUUACCCACUUCAUUGAGAAACCACCUUUGCAUGCAGUACCCUGAGCUGUCUUCAGCACACCAAGCAUCCACAACAUGGGAAAUACCGUGCUUUAAAUGUUGCUUUAAUCACAGUGCUCAUGAGUAAGGGCAUGUCCUGUCUCUUAUCCAUGAAAACACUCCCACAAAAUGAAGUCACACCCAGUAUCUGUUAACGGAGAUACUGAGUGGGUGAAGAAGACUCAUUCCCUAAUGCAAUUCAGGUCACACAGGGUAAAAAAGAAAAAAAAAUCCUUUUCUGUUGAGGAUACAGAUGGAGAGAAAAUGGAAAAUGCCUUUCAGGAAGCACAAGCCUAGUUUUCUAAUUGUGUUUCAGUGAACACGCAGGUGAACUUACCUGUGUGGCUUGGUAUUGUGGUGGGUUUUCAGCUUCUUCUCCACCAAAUCCUUUGAAAAGCAGCAGUGGCAGAAACAAAUAACCCAAUUAAAAACAAUAAUAGCAACAAUAAAAAAAGAAAAGAUGCAGCUGGAAACCUAGGAGCAGAAGCCCAGCAUAAAGAUCUCUGAAAGCCUGGAUGCGUGGAUUCCUCUCUUACUUCCCAAAACGGUGGGGUGGAAAUGUGAAUAUCAGCAUGAUGCACAGAUCUCUGCAGAUGUCCAGCGAACUGAAUUUCUAGACGCUAUAAUCUAUGUUCUUUCCCAACCCCCACUUCAGUUUACAUAUCGCAGGCCAUAGAUCCUGUUUGUUGAAAAGCGAUCAGCUAGAAAACAAGAGUGGUUAUAACCUGUGCUGCCCAGUGAUCAGGAAAAGAGAGCGGAUGAAACUUCCAUGACUUUCUGUUAGUCUGAUUAAUAUCCAUGCCAAAUGUAAGAUUAGUUAAAAGGCCUUAUUGCUUCCCACCAAAAUGUUCCUUCACUAGCUAUAUACUACACUGAAAUGUAAAGUUAUGGGUAUGUUUAACAGUUUAAUUUGUCAGUGGGCAUCCAACUCUUCUAUUUGUGUUUUUACUUUGAGCUUAAUUGGAGCAGACAAAUAGAGGUGACCUCUAACUGUUUUCUUCCUGAAGCCAUUUUCAGGGCAGAAGUGCUUUACCCACUUCAUUGAGAAACCACCUUUGCAUGCAGUACCCUGAGCUGUCUUCAGCACACCAAGCAUCCACAACAUGGGAAAUACCGUGCUUUAAAUGUUGCUUUAAUCACAGUGCUCAUGAGUAAGGGCAUGUCCUGUCUCUUAUCCAUGAAAACACUCCCACAAAAUGAAGUCACACCCAGUAUCUGUUAACGGAGAUACUGAGUGGGUGAAGAAGACUCAUUCCCUAAUGCAAUUCAGGUCACACAGGGUAAAAAAGAAAAAAAAAUCCUUUUCUGUUGAGGAUACAGAUGGAGAGAAAAUGGAAAAUGCCUUUCAGGAAGCACAAGCCUAGUUUUCUAAUUGUGUUUCAGUGAACACGCAGGUGAACUUACCUGUGUGGCUUGGUAUUGUGGUGGGUUUUCAGCUUCUUCUCCACCAAAUCCUUUGAAAAGCAGCAGUGGCAGAAACAAAUAACCCAAUUAAAAACAAUAAUAGCAACAAUAAAAAAAGAAAAGAUGAAGAAA
RNAcentral lists this long non-coding RNA (2553 nucleotides) under Homo sapiens (human). RNAcentral describes it as "non-protein coding LINC02372:11". The record is from RNAcentral. Lineage: Eukaryota; Metazoa; Chordata; Mammalia; Primates; Hominidae.